AGGGAUUUAGGAUAAUACCCAGACCAAGAGCCUUCAAAGCUCUAAGUAGAAGUGAAAAUCUUCUAAUCCCU
Molecule: transfer RNA, 71 nt
Filed under: Metzia formosae (Taiwan lesser-bream)
Lineage: Eukaryota; Metazoa; Chordata; Actinopteri; Cypriniformes; Xenocyprididae
Description: tRNA-Trp
Rfam family: tRNA
About the family: Transfer RNA (tRNA) molecules are approximately 80 nucleotides in length. Their secondary structure includes four short double-helical elements and three loops (D, anti-codon, and T loops).
Source: RNAcentral